Molecule: ribosomal RNA, 789 nt
Filed under: uncultured Staphylococcus sp.
Lineage: Bacteria; Bacillati; Bacillota; Bacilli; Caryophanales; Staphylococcaceae
Description: bacterial SSU rRNA
Rfam family: Bacterial small subunit ribosomal RNA
Source: RNAcentral
CCUAUAAGACUGGGAUAACUUCGGGAAACCGGAGCUAAUGCCGGAUAACAUUUGGAACCGCAUGGUUCUAAAGUAAAAGAUGGUUUUGCUAUCACUUAUAGAUGGACCCGCGCCGUAUUAGCUAGUUGGUAAGGUAACGGCUUACCAAGGCAACGAUACGUAGCCGACCUGAGAGGGUGAUCGGCCACACUGGAACUGAGACACGGUCCAGACUCCUACGGGAGGCAGCAGUAGGGAAUCUUCCGCAAUGGACGAAAGUCUGACGGAGCAACGCCGCGUGAGUGAUGAAGGUUUUCGAAUCGUAAAACUCUGUUAUUAGGGAAGAACAAAUGUGUAAGUAACUGUGCACAUCUUGACGGUACCUAAUCAGAAAGCCACGGCUAACUACGUGCCAGCAGCCGCGGUAAUACGUAGGUGGCAAGCGUUAUCCGGAAUUAUUGGGCGUAAAGCGCGCGUAGGCGGUUUCUUAAGUCUGAUGUGAAAGCCCACGGCUCAACCGUGGAGGGUCAUUGGAAACUGGGAAACUUGAGUACAGAAGAGGAAAGUGGAAUUCCAUGUGUAGCGGUGAAAUGCGCAGAGAUAUGGAGGAACACCAGUGGCGAAGGCGACUUUCUGGUCUGUAACUGACGCUGAUGUGCGAAAGCGUGGGGAUCAAACAGGAUUAGAUACCCUGGUAGUCCACGCCGUAAACGAUGAGUGCUAAGUGUUAGGGGGUUUCCGCCCCUUAGUGCUGCAGCUAACGCAUUAAGCACUCCGCCUGGGGAGUACGACCGCAAGGUUGAAACUCAA